AUCCCUAGCGAUCGAAACGUUGCCUGUUAAUAAAUCCACUUCUGGAGCAUUUAAACAGUUUGCAGACCUUCCUUUUUCUUAUAGUUAGAAAGAUGGUCAUACAUUUAUAAUAAUGGGCAUUUCUUGUAGGCUACUCUGCCCUCCUGGUCUACAUACAACCAAAGGGAAUCUAAAACUAUUUGUGAUUUUUUGGGGGGGCAUUGAGCUUCAAGACAAAUGUAUUUAACAGUGUUCCCUUCAUCUUCUGACUGGUUCAUGCUUCGUUUGGCCCUAACCUCAUCCAAAACACCACGACCCUCCAUUCUUCUCAAGCUGAUGUCAGUUCCCUAGGAUCGUGUAAGGUCAUUCAAAAAUGUCUCUGGUUAUUAUAGGAAAGUUUUAGCCAUAGAGUUGUGUUUCUAUGGGUGGAGCAAGGCCUGCUUUGCUAUGGACUCCAAAUGUAAUGUAUGUAACAAUUGAACAAGAAUAGGGGAAAACGCCAUGUCUAUUUACACUGAAGCGUUGACAUAUGCCAACCUGUCAAAGGCAUGGGGCGAGUUUGGUCUAUAAAAACUGUUGGUGAGUCACAUUGGAGGAGCUACAAUAAUCGGACGUCUUAUUAUUAUUACAUGGGCAUAUAUUAAUAUAUAGGCAGGCCCAGAGUGAUAGAGAUCUCUCUAUAGCUCUGGGCAGGCCUACGUUCAUCGCAUCGGCAAUGCAGCUCACUCGUCGCGCUUAAUGAAACUGACUUUGGGGAGGUGGAUGUGGGUCGCCGGGGGUCUGGGACGUUUCCCCUUGGGGAGGUGGAUGUGGGUCGCCGGGGGUCUGGGACGUUUCCCCUUGGGGAGGUGGAUGUGGGUCGCCGGGGGUCUGGGACGUUUCCCCUUGGGGAAAGUGGAUGUGGGUCGCCGGGGGUCUGGGACGUUUCCCCUUGGGGAGGUGGAUGUGGGUCGCCGGGGGUCUGGGACGUUUCCCCUUGGGGAGGUGGAUGUGGGUCGCCGGGGGUCUGGGACGUUUCCCCUUGGGGAGGUGGAUGUGGGUCGCCGGGGGUCUGGGACGUUUCCCCUUGGGGAAAGUGGAUGUGGGUCGCCGGGGGUCUGGGACGUUUCCCCUUGGGGAAAGUGGAUGUGGGUCGCCGGGGGUCUGGGACGUUUCCCCUUGGGGAAAGUGGAUGUGGGUCGCCGGGGGUCUGGGACGUUUCCCCUUGGGGAAAGUGGAUGUGGGUCGCCGGGGGUCUCUGAGACGUGCCCUUCGUCCUCCUUCACCCGAGAAAGCGGAGCCGCUGGCCCCUGCGCUGUUUAGAAAACACUUGAGGGUGGCGAGAAGGGACUUCCAGUGGGAAGGGAAUAUUUGUGUGGUCACAAAGCUUUGCAAUAUGAACUUGUUACAAUUUAUAUUUUAACUGAUGUAGGUAGAAUAAUUAUUUGUGCAAUUUGCUUUUUAAUUUAGUCUAGUCAGUCUUUUUCUGGCUUGAAUUUUACUUUAGAUUUUCAAAUAUUUUAUAUUGAAAUAUUGAUAUAGUUUUACUCUGAAUAAGAUUUCUAGAAGCACUUGAAUUUCAGCAUGCUUACCAUUGUAGUAUACAUAAAACUACCAUGGAUGGUUCUUUGCUUUUUAGCUUCUGGGCAGACACAUUUGAAGGCAAGGAAUGCAGAUUUUAUUUAUUUAUUUUCAUUGUACAUUUGUGUAUGUACAGCAAUUCUUUAGUCCAAUUAUUUCAAAAAUAUAUAAGAUCUUUUUUGCAGAAGAAUCUAUGUUCCUGAAUAAAAAAACAUUGUCUUACAAUAAACGGUUCACCUUACACUUUUCAUUGUCAACAAUGACUAUAUGAUCACAUUGAGCACACGUUUAACAAUAGUGAUGAUGCAAGGCACGCUUGAUAAAGGCCUGACAUUCUUUCUCAAAUGGCUUGUUUGAAUUAUCACCAGGUUCAGACCAAUCCCUCUGCUGAAAUCAUUUAUUAUGCACAAUAAUAUAGUAUAAACAUGUCUCUUUCUUCUUAGAUUUUGAAAAUGGAUAAAAAAACGAAAAGGGAUGAACAGGAAUAAAACAUUUUAUAGUAUGCAAUUUUAAGCUCCUUUAAAAUAAAUCACAUUAUUGCUCUUCAAAAAAUAAGAAAAUAUAUGAAUCACGUUUCCUUUCCUUCUCAAUCCGAAUCCUUCUCAAACCUCAUCCUGAUAUAAGUCCUUAUUGAAAAUAGAAAAAGGGGGAGUAAUCUUCUGAGUUUGGAUACCCAUAUUGGUUAAAAGAAAUUAUCCGAUGUGGCCCUCAAACGUGCGCCUUUAUGGAGAUAGCUAGCUAGUGUAUGGUCACCCAAAGAAGAGACAUGAAGAGCUUCAGGAGAGCAUUGCACGAAUGAACCUUCAUGUUCAAAAAAACGAUAAUCACGCCUAUUUAGUAUAAAUAUAGACGCUUAAUAACCAUAUAGUAAAGUUCUGCUUUGAUAUACGAGUUUGUGUGUUUAAAUAAGCUAAAUAUACCUAAAUACCAACAUGGAGAAGGUUUGGACCGGAGGUCCCCGUGUGUCGGGUUGGAAAACCUACUGGCUGAAGACCGCUUCUUAACACAUGGAAUCCAAAGACGAGCCAACAGAAGCUGAAAAUCUUAGGUGCUGGCCAACCAAAAGCAUCGCUUCGAUAAAAAAA
Molecule: long non-coding RNA, 2624 nt
Organism: Gadus morhua (Atlantic cod)
Lineage: Eukaryota; Metazoa; Chordata; Actinopteri; Gadiformes; Gadidae
Exons: 2
Source: RefSeq, a predicted model, not a curated record